UAGACCUCAAAUCAGGUAGGACUACCCGCUGAACUUAAGC
RNAcentral lists this ribosomal RNA (40 nucleotides) under Rhodotorula toruloides. RNAcentral's name for it is "partial 26S ribosomal RNA". Lineage: Eukaryota; Fungi; Basidiomycota; Microbotryomycetes; Sporidiobolales; Sporidiobolaceae. The record is from RNAcentral.